AGCAGCCGCGGUAAUUCCAGCUCCAAUAGCGUAUAUUAAAGUUGUUGCAGUUAAAAAGCUCGUAGUUGAAUUUCGGGGUUAGUAGGUUGGUCAUGCCUCUGGUAUGUACUGGUCUCACUGAUUCCUCCUUCCUGAUGAACCUUAAUGCCAUUAAUUUGGUGUUUUGGGGAAUUUGGACUGUUACUUUGAAAAAAUUAGAGUGUUUAAAGCAAGCUAACGCUUGAAUACAUUAGCAUGGAAUAAUGAAAUAGGACGUUCGAUCCUAUUUUGUUGGUUUCUAGGAUUGACGUAAUGAUUAAUAGGGAUAGUUGGGGGCAUUAGUAUUCAAUUGUCAGAGGUGAAAUUCUUGGAUUUAUGGAGACUAACUACUGCGAAAGCAUUUGCCAAGGAUGUUUUCAUUAAUCAGUGAACGAAAGUUAGGGAUUCGAAGACGAUCAGAUACCGUCGUAGUCUUAACCAUAAACUAUGCCGACUAGGGAUCGGGCGUAUGUUAUCUUUUUGACUCGUCUCGGCACCUUAC
This 520-nucleotide ribosomal RNA is filed under the name uncultured Glomeraceae. Its description in RNAcentral is "SSU rRNA". It matches the Rfam family "Eukaryotic small subunit ribosomal RNA", at positions 569 to 1091 of the family's 1831-position model. Lineage: Eukaryota; Fungi; Glomeromycota; Glomeromycetes; Glomerales; Glomeraceae. The record is from RNAcentral.